RNAcentral lists this ribosomal RNA (524 nucleotides) under Mnais pruinosa. Its description in RNAcentral is "SSU rRNA". It matches the Rfam family "Eukaryotic small subunit ribosomal RNA", at positions 620 to 1119 of the family's 1831-position model. Lineage: Eukaryota; Metazoa; Arthropoda; Insecta; Odonata; Calopterygidae. RNAcentral also lists the same sequence under 1 other name. The record is from RNAcentral.
UAAAAAGCUCGUAGUCGGAGGUGUGUCUCGGACGGUCGGUUCGCCGCUUGUCGGUGCUCAACUGGCCGGUCCGGACGUCCUGCCGGUGGGGCCGCGAGGCUCCGUUAUCCUUCUUUGGUCCUCUUCACCGAGUGCCUUGGUGGGCCGGCACGUUUACUUUGAACAAAUUAGAGUGCUCAAAGCAGGCCGUUGGUCGCCUGAAUACUGUGUGCAUGGAAUAAUGGAAUAGGACCUCGGUUCCAUUUUGUUGGUUUUCAGAACUCGAGGUAAUGAUUAAUAGGGACGGACGGGGGCAUUCGUAUUGCGACGUUAGAGGUGAAAUUCUUGGAUCGUCGCAAGACGAACCGAUGCGAAAGCAUUUGCCAAGAACGUUUUCGUUGAUCAAGAACGAAAGUUAGAGGUUCGAAGGCGAUCAGAUACCGCCCUAGUUCUAACCAUAAACGAUGCCAGCUAGCCAUCCGCCGAAGUUCCUUCUAUGACUCGGCGGGCAGCUUCCGGGAAACCAAAGCUCUUGGGUUCCGGGG